RNAcentral lists this ribosomal RNA (274 nucleotides) under uncultured bacterium. RNAcentral describes it as "partial 16S ribosomal RNA". It matches the Rfam family "Bacterial small subunit ribosomal RNA", at positions 523 to 796 of the family's 1533-position model. The record is from RNAcentral.
AUACGGAGGGUGCAAGCGUUACUCGGAAUCACUGGGCGUAAAGCGCGCGCAGGCGGCUUGAUAAGUUGGAUGUGAAAGCCUACGGCUCAACCGUAGAACUGCAUCCAAAACUGUCAAGCUAGAGUGUGGGAGAGGAAGAUGGAAUUAGUUGUGUAGGGGUAAAAUCCGUAGAGAUAACUAGGAAUACCAAAAGCGAAGGCAAUCUUCUGGAACACUACUGACGCUGAGGCGCGAAAGCGUGGGGAGCAAACGGGAUUAGAAACCCUAGUAGUCC